RNAcentral lists this ribosomal RNA (445 nucleotides) under uncultured bacterium. Its description in RNAcentral is "partial 16S ribosomal RNA". It matches the Rfam family "Bacterial small subunit ribosomal RNA", at positions 354 to 796 of the family's 1533-position model. The record is from RNAcentral.
GUGAGGAAUAUUGGUCAAUGGACGAGAGUCUGAACCAGCCAAGUCGCGUGAAGGAAGACGGUUCUAUGAAUUGUAAACUUCUUUUGUGCAGGAAUAAAGUACGGUACGUGUACCGUUUUGUAUGUACUCUGCGAAUAAGGAUCGGCUAACUCCGUGCCAGCAGCCGCGGUAAUACGGAGGAUCCAAGCGUUAUCCGGAUUUAUUGGGUUUAAAGGGUGCGCAGGCGGGUUGAUAAGUCAGCGGUGAAAGUUUGCAGCUUAACUGUAAAAUUGCCGUUGAAACUGUCGAUCUUGAGUGCAAAUGAGGUAAGCGGAAUGUGUUGUGUAGCGGUGAAAUGCUUAGAUAUAACACAGAACACCGAUUGCGAAGGCAGCUUACUGGGAUGCAACUGACGCUCAUGCACGAAAGCGUGGGGAUCAAACAGGAUUAGAAACCCUGGUAGUCC